GAUGAACGCUGGCGGCGUGCCUAAUACAUGCAAGUAGAACGCUGAAGGAGGAGCUUGCUCUUCUGGAUGAGUUGCGAACGGGUGAGUAACGCGUAGGUAACCUGCCUGGUAGCGGGGGAUAACUAUUGGAAACGAUAGCUAAUACCGCAUGACAACAGUUAUUGCAUGAUAACUGUUUAAAAGGGGCAACUGCUCCACUACCAGAUGGACCUGCGUUGUAUUAGCUAGUUGGUGAGGUAACGGCUCACCAAGGCGACGAUACAUAACCGACCUGAGAGGGGGUUCGGCCACCCUGGGAGUGUGACACGGCCCAGAGGGCUACGGGAGGCAGCAGUAGGGAAUCUUCGGCAAUGGGCGGAAGUCUGACCGAACAACGCCGCGGGAGGGAAGAAGGUUUCCGGGUCGUAAAGCUCUGUUGUAAGAGAAGAACGAGUGUGAGAGUGGAAAGUUCACACUGUGACGGUAUCUUACCAGAAAGGGACGGCUAACUACGUG
Molecule: ribosomal RNA, 495 nt
Filed under: uncultured bacterium
Lineage: Bacteria
Description: partial 16S ribosomal RNA
Rfam family: Bacterial small subunit ribosomal RNA
Source: RNAcentral